CACGUAUUGCUGAAGCCUGGCUUGGAGAAUUUUGAGCAUUACUUUAAACUUAUUUGAGAAAUAGAUUUGAGAAAUAGAUUUUUCUUAUGGUCCACCAGAAAUCUACCUCUGAGGUAUCUUCUUGAUGAAGACUCUUCUAGAGGUUGAAAAGUUUUCAUGAAGUUAAUACCUUUAGGCUCUCAGAAAUGCUUGGGAGAUGUCAUGAAAAUGUGCCUUUUCAAAGUUUACAAAAUUCAGAUUUUGCACUAUAAUUUAUCCAAAAUUUUUAUGAGGAUUUUAGCAUUUUCCAAGUAUUGUAAUUAACUCACAACUGGGAAAUCAUUAUUUCUGUAGAUGAAUAUAAGUUGUUAAAAUGUUCUUUUGACAUUCUUCCUCACGAAGUACCUUAUUUGCAAAAAUCCCAGUGUAUAAUGACUCAUGCGUUGCAAUCUGCUUUCAUGUGGCCACGCUCCUGGAGUAGAGCAGUGACAUGUGACCCCAAACUUGAUGUGAAAAAUCCCCAAGACUGCUUUAGAAUGCAGUUAUAUACAUAUGAUGAGGAUGAAUCUCUUUUUCUCUUUUUUUCUGUCCUCCAGCAGGGUUGCCAGAGGAUGAUUUCCUUUAAAAUAAAGCUUGUCAUUUACAGUUGAACAAACACUUUUAUGUACAUUAUUAAACUAAAAUUCUCAUAUUGUAUUACUACCGUGGGAUGCAUUAUAUUUGGACAGGAGACCAGCAGAUUUCUUUUCCAAGAUUUUGUUUGGAUUCAGUUCAGUUCAGUUCAGUUCAGUUCAGUCGCUCAGUCGUGUCCGACUCUUUGCGACCCCAUGAAGCACAGCACGCCAGGCCUUCCUGUCCAUCACCAACUCCCAGAGUACACUCAGAUUCACGUCCAUCGACUCAGUGAUGCCAUCCAGCCUUCUCAUCCUCUGUUGUCCCCUUCUCCUCCU
Molecule: long non-coding RNA, 929 nt
Filed under: Capra hircus (goat)
Lineage: Eukaryota; Metazoa; Chordata; Mammalia; Artiodactyla; Bovidae
Description: lncRNA (ENSCHIG00010005833.1)
Source: RNAcentral